AUGGAUUCAUGUUUUUCUACUUCUGUUCAUGUUUUGCACAUUUUGGUUGCUGUUUUGCUGUGCUUUCUGGUAGUAUCUGCAGAUGAUGACUUGGUUAUUUUAAUGCUUAAUAGUUUUUCCAUCUUUUAAUAGGAUUUAAUUGUGUUCAUAUUUGUAAAUCUUUUUAUGUAGGUACUGGAGCUAUGACUUUUCCAUUCAUAAGGAAUCUAGAGAUAUUUUCAUAUCUUUGUUUGUUUGUUUCUCUUGGUACAAGGUGUUGAUUAUUUAUUAAUUC
RNAcentral lists this unclassified non-coding RNA (274 nucleotides) under Hevea brasiliensis (rubber tree). Lineage: Eukaryota; Viridiplantae; Streptophyta; Magnoliopsida; Malpighiales; Euphorbiaceae. The record is from RNAcentral.